AAUUGGCGGUGAUGAUCAACAAUUUGCAAACAUGCCAGUUCUGCUUCUGAGAAUGUGUGACUGAAAGAACUGUUUUAUAUUCCUGAGCCAUGC
Lolium rigidum is the source of this 93-nucleotide small nucleolar RNA. Lineage: Eukaryota; Viridiplantae; Streptophyta; Magnoliopsida; Poales; Poaceae. The record is from RefSeq and is a predicted model, not a curated record.